GAUGAAGAACGUAGCGAAAUGCGAUAAGUAAUGUGAAUUGCAGAAUUCAGUGAAUCAUCGAAUCUUUGAACGCACAUUGCGCCCGCUAGUAUUCUGGCGGGCAUGCCUGUCCGAGCGUCAUUUCAACCCUCAAGCCCCCGGGCUUGGUGUUGGGGAUCGGCGAGCCUCCGCGCCCGCCGUCCCCUAAAUCUAGUGGCGGUCUCGCUGUAGCUUCCUCUGCGUAGUAGCACACCUCGCACUGGGAAACAGCGCGGCCACGCCGUUAAACCCCCAACUUCUGAACGUUUGACCCCGGAUCAGGUAGGAAUACCCGCUGAACUUAAGCAUAUCAAUAAGCGGAGGA
Molecule: unclassified non-coding RNA, 343 nt
Filed under: soil metagenome
Description: partial contains 5.8S ribosomal RNA, internal transcribed spacer 2, and large subunit ribosomal RNA
Rfam family: 5.8S ribosomal RNA (bases 1-120)
Source: RNAcentral